Leguminivora glycinivorella is the source of this 1319-nucleotide long non-coding RNA. RefSeq lists it as uncharacterized. Lineage: Eukaryota; Metazoa; Arthropoda; Insecta; Lepidoptera; Tortricidae. The transcript is spliced from 3 exons. The record is from RefSeq and is a predicted model, not a curated record.
UAGCAGAUUUUUUGAUAGUCGUAAUUAAAUAUUUUGGAUAGAUUUAAUUUUUGAAUGAAACACUUCCUUCUCGUUCAUUGCAUUAUCUGUUGCACUUCAAAUGCACAUAUUUAUGUUUAUCUGUUGUAGGGUUGCCAUACAACAAGUAUUAUUCGAAAUUGUAGGUAUUUUGGCUGUCAUUCCAGGAAAACUUUGUAUAGUUUUGAUAUACUUUAAGUAUUGAUUUUUGGAAAAUAUAAUAUUUUAGAGACAUGAUAACAAAUGUUAUCAUAGGUUUUUUAAGGCUGUUCUGGAAUGAUAUUUGUUAGGUUUUGUUUACUUCAAGGUCUGAUACAGAAACUGGAGUAAUUUUCAUUUAAUGAAUUAGAGUAUUUUAUUGUUUAUUCGUUUGCCACCCGGCUUUUGUUUUGGGUCCUUUAAAUUCGAGAUCAUUCAGUGCGCCGUUCUUUCUGUGACGAGAUCCUCUUGUAUAGUGAUCGGACGGCCGUAUAAGGGCCUGGAGCCCGGCAUGCCACGUGCUGCCGUGGCGUUCCAUAUUUUGUGUGGUGCGUUCUGUCAGUCUGACUGGCAGAAACAUGCUAAGGGUGGGAGUGCUCCUUGGAGAUCCUCGGUCUGCAGUCUGCAGGUCUCCGGAGUCGGGAAGAAGUAAAGAAUUAGAGAAUUGCAGAAGUAGAUAAUUAAACAAGAACCUUUACAAUUUCGAUGUGCAAGGAAACUUUCUUUGGCGUUACUGGCGCAAGGUGCCUUUGGACCUUGUUUUCGUAUGGAAGGGUCAGCCCUGUCCACGUGGCGAGGGGGCGUCAGCACCGGAGUCCGGGGAGCAGCCGGCUCAUCCCUGACAAGGUGUGUCUCCUGCCCGUUUCCUGCCGGUAGUGAUGUGUAAUUCAGGUUUUAAUUUCUGUGUAAAGUAAUUUCUGAUUUCAUUUAUUUUGAGAAUUCUGGUGCAUAACUUUAGGUAAAUUCAUAUUUAGUUUUUGUAGAAUAAAUGGUUGUAAGAAACCUUUUCCUGGACCCUCUUAAAGCGGCCCAGCUUUACCACUGAGCGUAGUUCUUAUUUCAUAUGUGGUGUCAAAUUUAGUAUUUUGGAAACAUUAACUUAAACCUAUCUGUAAGGCAAGAUUUUGGUAUAAUAAAUAUAUAAAAUGUGAUAUUGUUUAAUUUGUUUCUCCUCUAGCUUUCCUCCAGCAAGUAUAGAGACACCAUUUAGCUUUUGUUUUAUUAUAAAUUUUGUGCUAACGUGGGUGUAUUUACUUUGAACUAGCCGGAGCUUUCCAUUCCAUUUAAUUUACCCCCCACCAAAUACACCUCCGUUACACUGG